Molecule: ribosomal RNA, 506 nt
Filed under: uncultured Glomeromycotina
Lineage: Eukaryota; Fungi; Glomeromycota
Description: partial small subunit ribosomal RNA
Rfam family: Eukaryotic small subunit ribosomal RNA
Source: RNAcentral
CCAAUAGCGUAUAUUAAAGUUGUUGCAGUUAAAAAGCUCGUAGUUGAAUUUCGGGAUUGACACAUCGGUCGUGCCUUAAGGGGUACGAACUGGUGUAGUCAAUUUCUCACCUUCUGGAGAACCGCGAUGCCCUUAAUUGGGUGUCGCGGGAAACCAGGACCUUUACUUUGAAAAAAUUAGAGUGUUUAAAGCAGGCAUUUUGCUUGAAUACAUUAGCAUGGAAUAAUAAAAUAGGACGGCAUGAUUCUAUUUUGUUGGUUUCUAGGAUCACCGUAAUGAUUAAUAGGGAUAGUUGGGGGCAUUAGUAUUCAAUUGUCAGAGGUGAAAUUCUUGGAUUUAUUGAAGACUAACUACUGCGAAAGCAUUUGCCAAGGAUGUUUUCAUUAAUCAAGAACGAAAGUUAGGGGAUCGAAGACGAUCAGAUACCGUCGUAGUCUUAACCAUAAACUAUGCCGACUAGGAAUCAGACGAUGUUAAUUUUUUAAUGACUCGUUUGGCACCUUACG